Molecule: long non-coding RNA, 5745 nt
Organism: Macaca fascicularis (crab-eating macaque)
Lineage: Eukaryota; Metazoa; Chordata; Mammalia; Primates; Cercopithecidae
Source: Ensembl
CGGGCCGGAGGGGAAAGAGGGAGGGUGUGGUCACAUGACUGAAUCCACAGGUUUCGAGAGAAAAGGAGCAGGUAGGGGAAUAGUCAAUUAGGUAUUUGACUUGUACUCAGUAAAUCCUCACUUGACGUAAGAUAGAGUGAACAUAGCUACCUGUGGAGAUAGCUGGCCUUUUUUUUUUUUUGGACAGGAUCUCACGCUUACCCAGGAUGGAGUGCAGUGGUGUGAUCUUGAUCUUGGCUCACUAAAGCCUCAGCCUCCCGAGUAGCUGGAACCACAGGUGUGUGCCACCACACCCAGCUAAUUUUGGUAUUUUUUGUAGACAGAGGUUUCAUCAUGUUGCCCAGGCUGGUCUCGAACUCUUGGGCUCAAGCAGUGCUUCCACCUCGGCUUUUUAAAGUGCUGGGAUUACAGGCGUGAGCCACCACGCCCGGCCUGUCUGGUCCUUUCUCUGUAGCUGUCUGCUUAAGAACAUAAGGAAACGCAGCUUCUUGCAUGACUCUAUUCUCAUCUUAACUAUUUUCUUUUAGCACGGUGAAUUACGGUCCCAAGUUUUUAUUUUCCUUUCACACUGGACACAAAAAAAAGCAAAAACGGAAAUGCAAAACAGAAGUUGCGGCACCGAGUCCAGUAACUAAGGAGAAAAUCACCUCUUUGCAGACGGCCUCUGACUCCCUGCCCUCCCCCUGUGCCAGCAAAGCCCUCUGAGGCCAUUCAUCCCUGAGUGCUGACCACAGUGCUGUCACCAUCAUCUCGCCCUGAAGGGAGGUCACACUAUCCCUUCGAGAUGGGAACCAACUCCUUUGGCUGUCCCUGGCUCCCAGUGGUGGCUGAACCAGAGGGCAGGGGCCAGGGCAGCAGCAGAGCCAAGUGCGCCCACUGGGGCCGAGGGGCUCUGGCCACCAUGUCCGUCGGGGAAGAUGUUGGGGAGGGCCCUGGCCUUGCAGCGAGGGGACAGACAGACAGUCUGCCACUUCCUAUCACAGUCACAGGUGGGGACAGUGACCCUCCCCUUCCAGGUGAGGCUACAUUUGGAGGCUGAGGAGCACAUGAAAUGUGGGUCCCCGGCGGUGCUGAGGCCAGGAGCCCCUGAUGUGUGAGUUUGUAUGGGGACGUUGCCCCUGAGGAGGGGUGACAGGAAGAGUCCCCUCCUGGUGAGCUGUGACCCUGAGCCAGUGGCUCUCUUAACUGUGAGAUGGAGACCCUCCUCCCCCGCCAGGGCUAGGAGAGGAGAACUGGCAGGCAAAGGGUCUGCUUGUUUCCCUGAAUAGAACUCAGGCUCCCUCCUGAGGGGUCCUUGCCGUCCCCACGCGGUCCCUCCCAGCCCUCAUGGUGCGCACCAGCAGUGCUGUCCCUCCUGCCCCGGGCCCUCGAGGGAGGAGGAAGACCUGAGUCCUGGGACUGGGCAGGGAGACAGGUCAGUCCCCGCUCCAGGAGUUCCUGGAGCCCUCGGGUCUACCCCGCUCUGACCAGCUGCUAUGGGUAGAGCAGAUCUGCGGGUGGUCCAGCAUCUCUGGGUCCUUCCCAGCAGUCCCAGGGUGUCUGUCACCGAGGAUGAGAGCCCAAAGGUCUGGCCCAGGAGCACCCGGUGGAGGUGGUGAGCCAGGGUCUGCCGAUGGCUCAUCUGAUUCCCAGAUGCAGAACUGCUUUCACACUACUGUGGCCUCCGCAAACCAGCGUUGUGCCCCCGCUACCUCUGCCACUCCCAGGGGGCCAAGUCCCGCACCUUCACUCUCUCAAGAUGGGAGCUGGAAGCCACCGCGGAACUAAAGUCUGGGAACCCCCCUUGGGCACUCAGGAUUCACCCGUACAUGUGGCUGGCACAGGCCUGUCCUCCAGGAGGCUGCAGACUGGGGAGCCAGGGGUGACAGCGCAGGCUGCCCGCACUUUGUGCGCAAAGCCAGGAGCACUCUUCAGUGAAGAGGAGGCUGCAUUGCGAGAACCCUGGACUGGGCGCUACGACCGCAGACUCAAGGCCGGGGCACCCCAGUUCUCACUGGGGGAUUGAGUGAGCCCUGACCCUCUCCUGGGCCUGCCUGUCAGCUCCUGUGCAGCGAUGGGCUGGACCCCGUGGGGCCUGAGGGCACCAUUUGUAGCUCUACUCUAGAUGCAAUUCCUGGUGAUCACAAAUGUCAAACAUAACCACUUCGACCCCCACAAACUGCCAGCUGCGAGCCCCUGAUAACAGAAGUGGCCGCACUCGCCGGAGCUCCCACCCUGGCCUGCCCUGGCACGCGCUGGUGGCUUUCCCCGGGCUCUCUGCUCAGGCCUUACCACCACCCUAGAAUGAUGGACAGGGGAAUUGCUCAGACAGACUGGGGACUCCGCAAGGGUGACAGAACGAACUUGCAUGUCCUGGCUCUUAGCUAGAGCGCUGUGCUGCAUUCAUACAGCUGGUCGCCGCCCCCAUGCCCUCACCGAUCUUAGUGCCACACCCCUCGCCUGGAGGUCCUGCUGCAGCCCUUGCUGCCCCAUAAGGCCUUACCAGGGAUGCGGGGUGAGCCCGGCCCCUCUCUGCCAUGAUGCACAGGUGUUCUGCACACACCUCAAGGGAGUCUUUGCUGCUCACUUCCUGCCUCUCCUUCCCCAGCCCCACCAACCAUCUGCCACUGCCUCUUCCCAAGCUGGGGAGGAACUGGAGAGCCUGGGCCUCCGGGGGACUGACUUCCUCCUACGGAACUCAAUAUUCCUCCACCUGCAGACAGGUUCCCGCCUCGUCCCAGGGUUGGUGGCAUCACGCACUGGAGCAGGAGGCCUCGUUUUCCUACUGACCUGUGCCUUGACCUUCCAGAGUCAACACAGUGGGGAUGGGGACAGGUUGAGGUUGUUUGUGAUAUGGUUUGACUCUGUGUCCCCACCCAAAUCUCAUGUUGAAUUGUGACCCCCAGUGUUGGAUGUGGGGCCUGGUGGGAGGUGAUUGGGCCUUGGGGGUGCUCUCUAAUGGUUUAGCACCAUCCGCAUACUGCUGUUUCGUGAUAGAGUUCUCAGGCGAUCUGGUUGUUGAAAGCACCUCCUGCUCCGCUGCCUCUCCUGCUGGCCAUGUGAAGACGUACCUGCUUCCCCUUCACCUUCUGCCAUGAUUGUAAGUUUCCGGAGGCUUUCCCAGCCAUGCUUCCUGUACAGCCUGCAGAACUGUGAGUCAAUUAAACCUCUUUUUUUUUUUUCAAAAAUUAUCCAGUCUCAGUUAUAUCUUUAUAGCAGUAUGAAAAUGGACUAAUACAGGUUGUCUUCAUCUUGGCAUUAACCUGGUAAUUAGGAAGAAAAAAGUCUCUGGGUCUUGGUCUCCCCAACUGCAAAAUUUGUGGGUGGGCCACUGCCACUUCACAGAGGCCUCCCUCAGCAGGGACAAAGUGAAAGCUCAUGGGGUGGUUUCUGGGCUGGGGCACUGGACCUGGCAACUGAUGGCAUCCAGCAUUUAUGGAACAAAUGAUGCUGGUACCCAGGGAUGCCAUGGGACUACUCCCACCUGGAGUAAACAUCAUUCAAACAAUGAGGGGAUGCCCCCCAGAUUCAAGAGAGUGCCACCCUGUAUUAGGCCAUUCUCACACUGCUACAAAAAAAUACCUGAGACCGGGUAAUUUACAAAGAAAAGAGGCUUAAUUGCCUCAUAGUUCCACAGGCUGUACAGGAAGCGUGAUGCUGGCAUCUGCUCGGCCUUUGGGGAGGCGUCAGGAAACUUACAAUCAUGGCGGAAGGGGAAAGGGAAGCAAGCAUGUGUUUUGUUGGUUUUUUUUUUUUUUUUUUUGAGACAGAGUUUCGCUCUUGUUGCCCAGGCUAGAGUGCAGUGGCACGAUCUCAGCUCACUGCAACCUCCGUCUCCCAGGUUCAAGCGAUUCUUCUGCCUCAGCCUCCUGAGUAGCUGGGAUUGCAGGCAUGUACCACCAUGCCUGGCUAAUUUUUGUAUUUUUAGUAGAGAUGGAGUUUCUCCAUGUUGGUCAGGCUGGUCUCGAACUCCCGACCUCAGGUGAUCUGCCCACCUUGGCCUCCCAAAGUGCUAGGAUUACAGACGUGAGCCACUGUGCCCAGCCUAAAGCAGGCAUGUCUUACAUGGCUGGAGCAGGAGGAAGUGGGGGCAGGGGAUGUGCCACACACUUUUAAACAACUAGAUGUCACUAGAACUAUCUAUUGCAGAGAUGGCACCAAGCCAUGAAGGAUCCACCUCCAUGACCCAAACACCUCCCAUUAGGCCCCACCUCCAAGACUAGGGACUACAAUUCAACGAGAGGUCUGGGCAGGAACAAAUACCCCAACUCUUAUCGUCAUCCAGAGGCUGUGUUACUAAGGUUUUGCUUUUAGUUUGCUGACGAGGCAGCAAGGAGUUUCAUGGCCCAGUUUGAAAGUAUUUAGAAGAAUGAGGCAGUCACCAUAGCCACUCUCCAGGGUUAGGCCCUAAGCUGUUGCAAAUAGGGGCUGGAAACCUUCCUUUAUUCAACAACAUAUAUCAAGGACCUACUACGUACUAGGCCCUAACCCUGAUGCUGGUAGUCCAUUUUAUUUUUCUGAAUCAGUCACCCUCCCUCGGCUCUAGUUCUCUGCCAAUGAUGACAUCGCAAGUUCCUCUUUAACCUCUCCUAGAUAAACUCCAGAGGGCCUCCGCAGUCUGCCUGCUCCACCCGCUUUCUCAGCUUCUCAGGAGUUUGAAGGAUUAGGGUUGAAGUUCCACUCCCUGCAUGAGCAGAUGUGUCAUUAUCUUGCCCCCAAAUUCCCCAGCCUGGUGGCUCCCCAGGAACCUCAUGCAGUCAGCGGGCUGGUCCCAGCUCUGUCCUGACCAGGAGCGUGGGGCAGGGUGGGCAAGGAGGGAGGCACAGUCAGGGUUUAUACACUCAGGGGGUGCAGCCCUUCCUGCAGAAUAAGUUACGCGUUUCAUCUGGAGGAGACACAGCAGGGUCCGUGUCCACGCCGUGACUCUGCAGAUGGGCCGCUGACAGUGUGGUUUCUUUCUUGGCAGCGUCCAGCUCUCCCGCAAGUGGCUGCAGAUCAAAGCAAGCAGCGGAAACCUCUGGGGGCCACAGCCUCCUGGGGACUGUGAAGCUGAACACCGCGUGGUGGGAGGAGCCCUGGCCGACAGAAAUGCACCCUCUCCCCAUUUCCAGGGUCAAGCCCCACUCCCAGCCCUGUGGGAGGAGGGAGCAGGAAGAACCCAGUGUGCGGGGCCAGAGUGCCUGGCUCGAAAUUAAUCUUGGUUCCCCCUGUGUGGCCUUUGGCAGGUGAUUCGCCCUCUCUAAGCCGCAGUUUUCUCCUCUGUAACACUGGAGUUUUAGCACCCAGGAGUAAGGGGCCUGGCACACAUGGGUGCUCCACAGGUGCCAGUUUCUUCCUCAGUGGCCCCUAAAAUCAGUUGCUUAAGCCAUACCGGAAGUCUCUAGUGGUUUAUCAGAAUACAAACUUCAGUGUCACAGCUGGGUUUGGCCGGGAUGGGUAUUGCGAUGUGGGAAGAAAGGAGAAUAGAGGGAUGGCAGCGGCACCUUGAAUGCUUCCUAGGGGCAUCUGGAUUUCGCCCUGGAGGCAGCAGGGGGCACAAAAAAGUUGUAAGCAGGGGCACCAUUUGUGUCCUGAGCAAGCAGUGGUCUCCGAGGGUAGGGAUUUUAGAAUCUGCUGGUGCAGUCUGGGUGCCGUGGCUCACACCUGUAAUCCCAGCACUUUGGGAGGCUGAGGCAGGAAGAUCGCUUGAGCCCACACGUUGGAGACCAGCCUGGGCAAUAUGGCAAAAUCCCAUCUCUACAAAAAAAUACAAAAAAAAAAAAAAAA